CUGCUUUUACAGUAAACUAGAUUUUCACCCGUGCGAUGCACGGCUAAUAUAAUAAUAUAGAAUAAUAAAAAUAAUUAUGUAAUGAUAACAAAAAAAAUUUUUAAUUAAUUUUAUAUUUUUUAACAAAUAAAAAAAUAUACUAUCAAUCUUAAUUAUAGUACAUAUUAAAGUACACAAGCUAGAGAAAAAAAAAAUUGGACCAAAGUAAAUAUUCAACUAAAAUGCAAAAUUCAAUCCUGCUCUAUUAUCUAUAAAUUGGUGUGCAAAAUAAUUUAUAUUUACAUAUUGAUGUGCGAAAUAAAAUGAUAACUAAAAUUGAUAUGAAAAAUUACAAAUAACAUUAAUAUUUAAACAUAUAAUGAGAUCAACUAAACUUUCAUAUUUGAUACACAUUAGAGUAAGCACACAUAUAUUAUGUUUCUAUUGUCACUUUUAAGAUUCAAAAAUAUAAAGAUGUUGGUUUUCAAAAAAAUAUAAAGAAAAAAAUUUUGUUGCAUGAAAAUGAAAAGUUACAGGAGUGACAGUAGGAAAAAAAAUUACGAAAUGAAAAUUACAAAAGUAACAGGGAAAUAAUAUGUUCUAUUUUAAAGCAUCAAUAUUUAAGAGCGAAGAAAAUUACAGGAGUGAUGUGAGUUUUAAAUUUUUUUCUCUUUCCAAAAAUGUCUCUAUCCUUUUUUACUAAUAUUUUUAUGUCCAGAAAUUUUCAACCAAUCAUUUCAAAUAAUUAAAUAAGUAAUAAUUUAUUCCCAAAUAAAAAUAAAUAUUUUUCUUCUCAAGCGUAAUAUCCGCACCGCCAAUUCUUUCUCAACAUAAUAUCCAUAAAUUUCUCAAAUAUCUCAAUGACUUUGAAAUAAAAUUUCUUUCAUUAUAUGUGAUUUUUAAUAAUAUAGUAAAAAAAUUAAUUUUUUAUAAAAGCGUGAGUUUUUAAUUUUUUCUCUUUCCAAAAAUAUCUCUAUCAUUUUUUACUAAUAUUUUUAUGUUCAGAAAUUUUCAACCAAAUAUUUCAAAUGAUUAAAAAUAAGGGAAGAUGUGCAUGGCGUAGUUGAGGUACUAUUUAAUAAAAUUUCGUU
This 1070-nucleotide long non-coding RNA is filed under the name Ananas comosus (pineapple). RNAcentral describes it as "long non-coding RNA (ACOM_LNC016842)". The record is from RNAcentral. Lineage: Eukaryota; Viridiplantae; Streptophyta; Magnoliopsida; Poales; Bromeliaceae.